This 332-nucleotide ribosomal RNA is filed under the name Mantidactylus sp. 48 MV-2009. RNAcentral describes it as "partial 16S ribosomal RNA". It matches the Rfam family "Bacterial large subunit ribosomal RNA", at positions 2016 to 2516 of the family's 2925-position model. The record is from RNAcentral. Lineage: Eukaryota; Metazoa; Chordata; Amphibia; Anura; Mantellidae.
CUGUCUCCUUUUUCUAUCAGUGAAACUAAUCUCCCCGUGAAGAAGCGGGGAUACUACUAUAAGACGAGAAGACCCCAUGGAGCUUUAAACCCAACUACACCCCUAUUUACAACAACUACUUAACCAAUUGGACACUGUAUGCUUGGUUUUAGGUUGGGGCGACCACGGAGUAAAAAAUAACCUCCACGAUAAAUGGGCUUACCCCCUUAUCUAAGAGCCACACCUCUAAGAAUUAAAAUAUUAAUAUAAUAUGAUCCUUUCUUGAUCAACGGACCAAGUUACCCUGGGGAUAACAGCGCAAUCCAUUUCAAGAGCCCCUAUCGACAAAUGGG